This 308-nucleotide unclassified non-coding RNA is filed under the name plant metagenome. Its description in RNAcentral is "partial contains 5.8S ribosomal RNA, internal transcribed spacer 2, and large subunit ribosomal RNA". The stretch from base 1 to 106 matches the Rfam family "5.8S ribosomal RNA", at positions 49 to 154 of the family's 154-position model. The record is from RNAcentral.
CGAAAUGCGAUAAGUAAUGUGAAUUGCAGAAUUCAGUGAAUCAUCGAAUCUUUGAACGCACAUUGCGCCUAUUAGUAUUCUAGUAGGCAUGCCUGUCCGAGCGUCAUUUCAACCCUCAGAACCCCUUGCGGGAUCUGGCGUUGGGGAUUGGCAUCCAGCCAGCCCCGAAAUCUAGUGGCGGUCCCUCCGCGACCUCCCCUGUGCAGUAGCGAUACCUCGCAGCGGGACAGCGGUCUGACCACGCCGUAAAACCCCCAACUUCUCAAGGUUGACCUCGAAUCAGGUAGGAAUACCCGCUGAACUUAAGC